UACGGAGGGUGCGAGCGUUGUCCGGAAUCAUUGGGCGUAAAGGGCGCGUAGGUGGCGGGACAAGCGUGCGGUGAAAGCCUGGGGCUCAACCCCGGGUCGGCCGUGCGAACUGUUUUGCUUGAGCACCGUAGAGGCAGGCGGAAUUCCGGGUGUAGCGGUGGAAUGCGUAGAGAUCCGGAAGAACACCGGUGGCGAAGGCGGCCUGCUGGGCAGUAGCUGACACUGAGGCGCGACAGCGUGGGGAGCAAACAGG
This 253-nucleotide ribosomal RNA is filed under the name uncultured bacterium. Its description in RNAcentral is "partial 16S ribosomal RNA". It matches the Rfam family "Bacterial small subunit ribosomal RNA", at positions 524 to 776 of the family's 1533-position model. The record is from RNAcentral.